Podarcis lilfordi (Lilford's wall lizard) is the source of this 87-nucleotide non-coding RNA. Lineage: Eukaryota; Metazoa; Chordata; Lepidosauria; Squamata; Lacertidae. The record is from the annotation of a GenBank genome assembly.
CUCCCAACAUGGAGCCCACCACCCACUGCUGCAGCGGUGACAGCUUCGCUGGGCAGCAGCAGUGGGCGGUGGGCUCCACGCCGGGAG